UGGCAGGUAGCACUCAAGGUGAGCGCGCCCGGCUGUUAACCGGGAAUGAGGUCGGUUCGAUCCCGACCCUGCCAGCCA
This 78-nucleotide transfer RNA is filed under the name Alphaproteobacteria bacterium. Its description in RNAcentral is "tRNA-Asn". It matches the Rfam family "tRNA". Rfam says of the family: Transfer RNA (tRNA) molecules are approximately 80 nucleotides in length. Their secondary structure includes four short double-helical elements and three loops (D, anti-codon, and T loops). Lineage: Bacteria; Pseudomonadati; Pseudomonadota; Alphaproteobacteria. The record is from RNAcentral.